CUAUACAUGCAAGUCGAGCGGACAGAAGGGAGCUUGCUCCCGGAUGUUAGCGGCGGACGGGUGAGUAACACGUGGGUAACCUGCCUGUAAGACUGGGAUAACUCCGGGAAACCGGAGCUAAUACCGGAUAGUUCCUUGAACCGCAUGGUUCAAGGAUGAAAGACGGUUUCGGCUGUCACUUACAGAUGGACCCGCGGCGCAUUAGCUAGUUGGUGAGGUAACGGCUCACCAAGGCGACGAUGCGUAGCCGACCUGAGAGGGUGAUCGGCCACACUGGGACUGAGACACGGCCCAGACUCCUACGGGAGGCAGCAGUAGGGAAUCUUCCGCAAUGGACGAAAGUCUGACGGAGCAACGCCGCGUGAGUGAUGAAGGUUUUCGGAUCGUAAAGCUCUGUUGUUAGGGAAGAACAAGUGCAAGAGUAACUGCUUGCACCUUGACGGUACCUAACCAGAAAGCCACGGCUAACUACGUGCCAGCAGCCGCGGUAAUACGUAGGUGGCAAGCGUUGUCCGGAAUUAUUGGGCGUAAAGGGCUCGCAGGCGGUUUCUUAAGUCUGAUGUGAAAGCCCCCGGCUCAACCGGGGAGGGUCAUUGGAAACUGGGAAACUUGAGUGCAGAAGAGGAGAGUGGAAUUCCACGUGUAGCGGUGAAAUGCGUAGAGAUGUGGAGGAACACCAGUGGCGAAGGCGACUCUCUGGUCUGUAACUGACGCUGAGGAGC
This 722-nucleotide ribosomal RNA is filed under the name Bacillus pumilus. RNAcentral's name for it is "bacterial SSU rRNA". It matches the Rfam family "Bacterial small subunit ribosomal RNA", at positions 49 to 754 of the family's 1533-position model. Lineage: Bacteria; Bacillati; Bacillota; Bacilli; Caryophanales; Bacillaceae. The record is from RNAcentral.